RNAcentral lists this ribosomal RNA (773 nucleotides) under uncultured bacterium. RNAcentral's name for it is "bacterial SSU rRNA". It matches the Rfam family "Bacterial small subunit ribosomal RNA", at positions 8 to 798 of the family's 1533-position model. The record is from RNAcentral.
AGAGUUUGAUCCUGGCUCAGGACGAACGCUGGCGGCGUGCUUAACACAUGCAAGUCGAACGGAAAGGCCCUUCGGGGUACUCGAGUGGCGAACGGGUGAGUAACACGUGGGUGAUCUGCCCUGCACUCUGGGAUAAGCCUGGGAAACUGGGUCUAAUACCGGAUAGGACCACACACUUCAUGGUGAGUGGUGCAAAGCUUUUGCGGUGUGGGAUGAGCCCGCGGCCUAUCAGCUUGUUGGUGGGGUAAUGGCCCACCAAGGCGACGACGGGUAGCCGGCCUGAGAGGGUGACCGGCCACACUGGGACUGAGAUACGGCCCAGACUCCUACGGGAGGCAGCAGUGGGGAAUAUUGCACAAUGGGCGCAAGCCUGAUGCAGCGACGCCGCGUGAGGGAUGACGGCCUUCGGGUUGUAAACCUCUUUCAGUAGGGACGAAGCGAAAGUGACGGUACCUACAGAAGAAGGACCGGCCAACUACGUGCCAGCAGCCGCGGUAAUACGUAGGGUCCGAGCGCUGUCCGGAAUUACUGGGCGUAAAGAGCUCGUAGGUGGUUUGUCGCGUUGUUCGUGAAAACUCACAGCUUAACUGUGGGCGUGCGGGCGAUACGGGCAGACUAGAGUACUGCAGGGGAGACUGGAAUUCCUGGUGUAGCGGUGGAAUGCGCAGAUAUCAGGAGGAACACCGGUGGCGAAGGCGGGUCUCUGGGCAGUAACUGACGCUGAGGAGCGAAAGCGUGGGUAGCGAACAGGAUUAGAUACCCUGGUAGUCCAA